Molecule: ribosomal RNA, 423 nt
Filed under: uncultured bacterium
Lineage: Bacteria
Description: bacterial SSU rRNA
Rfam family: Bacterial small subunit ribosomal RNA
Source: RNAcentral
AAGACCUUGCGCUUUUGGAGCGGCCGAUGUCUGAUUAGCUAGUUGGUAGGGUAAUGGCCUACCAAAGCUUCGAUCAGUAGCUGGUCUGAGAGGACGACCAGUCACACUGGGACUGAGACACGGCCCAGACUCCUACGGGAGGCAGCAGUGGGGAAUUUUGGACAAUGGGCGCAAGCCUGAUCCAGCCAUGCCGCGUGAGUGAAGAAGGCCUUCGGGUUGUAAAGCUCUUUCAGCCGGGAAGAAAAGGCUACGACGAAUAAUCGUAGCUCAUGACGGUACCGGAAGAAGAAGCACCGGCUAACUACGUGCCAGCAGCCGCGGUAAUACGUAGGGUGCGAGCGUUAAUCGGAAUUACUGGGCGUAAAGGGUGCGCAGGCGGUUUUGUAAGUCAGAUGUGAAAUCCCCGGGCUUAACCUGGGAACU